CAACCGCAUGGAACGGGGGGAAAAUCAGGAAUAGGGCAUGCUCUCUCUCUCUCUCUCUCUUUGGGGAAGAGGGGCCAUGUGCCCUUUCUCUUUAUGAGAGGCAUGAGAGGGGCCGUGUGCCUCCUCCCUUGUGCGAAAAAGAAAGUGAGAGAAGGAAAUAGCACGAUGAAGCCCUAUUCCCCUUCUCCUUAUCGUUCUCCUUUGCCCAUUGUGAUCGCCCCCUAUUCCACAACUAACAUUUCUUCAUCCUGAAUCUCUUUCCUUCUCUCUUGCUUGCUCCGAUUUUCUCUAUCUGCCACCCACGAUCCUUCUCUUUCAUGAUCAAAUCUCCUUUCUCUCUUGCAUGUCGUGUUCGAUGCUGUGCAAGCUGCUUCUUCCUCCCUCUUAGGCCCCUGGUAAGCCAUCUUGUUAACUUCUAUUUCUUUCUCAUACCAAGGAGACAGGAACUAAAGCACAUAUCGGGCUCUUCUUUUUCCUCAAUGACUGGCAGCGAGCGGCUGUGCCGUAAGUACAUAGUGCAAGUAGCAGUCGCCUAGGACCGUGGUACAGGUGGCAGCAACAUGGGGGGCUGACCCAAGGGAAAAGAAGAGAAGAAGAAAAUAAAGGAAAGAAAGAAGAGAAGAAGAAGAAGAAGAAAAAGAAUAGAGGAAGAUGGAGAUCAUGUGCGUGAUAGAGAGGAACAGGAGAGCAUGAUAGGGAAGAUGGAAAGAGCAAUG
RNAcentral lists this long non-coding RNA (716 nucleotides) under Elaeis guineensis (African oil palm). RNAcentral's name for it is "long non-coding RNA (EGUI_LNC025896)". The record is from RNAcentral. Lineage: Eukaryota; Viridiplantae; Streptophyta; Magnoliopsida; Arecales; Arecaceae.